Molecule: non-coding RNA, 30 nt
Filed under: Homo sapiens (human)
Lineage: Eukaryota; Metazoa; Chordata; Mammalia; Primates; Hominidae
Source: RNAcentral
UGUCCAGAUGUGAUCAAUAGAAUCAGGAGA